This 190-nucleotide small nuclear RNA is filed under the name Salmo salar (Atlantic salmon). RNAcentral's name for it is "U2 spliceosomal RNA (ENSSSAG00000116214.1)". It matches the Rfam family "U2 spliceosomal RNA". Rfam says of the family: U2 is a small nuclear RNA (snRNA) component of the spliceosome (involved in pre-mRNA splicing). Lineage: Eukaryota; Metazoa; Chordata; Actinopteri; Salmoniformes; Salmonidae. The record is from RNAcentral.
AUCGCUUCUCGGCCUUUUGGCUCAGAUCAAGUGUAGUAUCUGUUCUUAUCAGUUUAAUAUCUGAUCGUCCCCCAUCGAGGGACUACAUAUUAAAUGGAUUUUUCGAACAGGGGAGUCGGAAAUGGGGCUUGCUCCGUCCGCUCCACGCGUCGACCGGUAUUGCAGUACCUCCGGGAAUGGUGCAACACUU